This 893-nucleotide long non-coding RNA is filed under the name Vigna radiata. Its description in RNAcentral is "long non-coding RNA (VRAD_LNC005924)". Lineage: Eukaryota; Viridiplantae; Streptophyta; Magnoliopsida; Fabales; Fabaceae. The record is from RNAcentral.
UUCGCUUGGAGAGGUGCCCGAGAUCAUGGACUAUUAAUGAAAGAUUCCUUUAGCCAAAUUGAUCAAGAAGAGGGUUAAGACAAAGAUUGUGUAUCAUACACCAUUGCAGGAAUUACCCUAAUGUCCCCCUCAUGGGAUUCCAUUGUUGUGUAUGUGUUAACAAAAAAAAUAGAAAAAGGAACAAAAGAAAAAAAAACAAAAAAAAGAAGAAAAAAAAUAAUUUGGGUAUCCUAUGAGAGGGUCGCCAACACCUGCAUCUCUUACCACAUUGCAGAUCUUCUGAGGAAGAGAUCUUUACUUAAAUGCUUUAUGCUAGGGACACUUGGGGGCAACGUUGUUCGCUUAGAGAGGUUCCCGAGAUCAUGGACUAUUAAUGAAAGAUUCCUUUAGCCAAAUUGAUCAAGAAGAGGGUUAAGACAAUCAAGUUGUCAUUCAAGUUAAUUUCUCCUUACCUAAACUGCGAGAAACAAGUCCAUAAUGCUAAGCAGCGGGUGAGAGCAGUAGUGGCAAAUUUGAAGGAGGAACGACGUCGUCAAGCUAAAAAAAAAGAGAGAAGGCAUCAAAAAGCUAGUGAUUAAGAAGAAAGAGUAUGUUGUUGAACAAAGGGCGAGUUAUAGAGUUCGAAGAGAGGCCUAAGAUCAUGGACCAUUAACGAAAGAUUUCCCUUAGCCAGAUUGAUUACAAAGAGGGUCAAUAUAAUCAAGUUGCCAACCAAGUUUAUCAUUCAGAUUAAUUUAUCCUGACCCAAAUGGUGAAAAGUAAUUUCACAAUGUUGAACAACGUGUGAAAGCAGCAGUGGCCAAACUGAAGAAGGAAGGUUAGCAUCAUGCUAAAAAGGAGACAUCAAGAAUUGAUAAUUCAAAUGAAGGAACAUGUUGUUGAACAAGGGCGAA